Molecule: ribosomal RNA, 520 nt
Filed under: uncultured bacterium
Lineage: Bacteria
Description: partial 16S ribosomal RNA
Rfam family: Bacterial small subunit ribosomal RNA
Source: RNAcentral
GACGAACGCUGGCGGCGUGCUUAACACAUGCAAGUCGAACGGACUACUUUGCUUCGGUAAGGUGGUUAGUGGCGAACGGGUGAGUAACGCGUAGACAACCUACCUCUUAGAUGGGGACAACAUCGCGAAAGCGGUGCUAAUACCGAAUGAAGUGACUUUCCUGCAUGGGAGAGAUACUAAAGGUGGCCUCUAUUUAUAAGCUACCACUGAGAGAUGGGUCUGCGUCUGAUUAGCUAGUUGGCGGGGUAACGGCCCACCAAGGCGACGAUCAGUAGCCGGUCUGAGAGGAUGAACGGCCACAUUGGGACUGAGACACGGCCCAAACUCCUACGGGAGGCAGCAGUGGGGAAUCUUCCGCAAUGGACGAGAGUCUGACGGAGCAACGCCGCGUGAGUGAAGAAGGUUUUCGGAUCGUAAAGCUCUGUUGUUUGAGACGAAUGUGCCUGUUUCAAAUAGGGAUAGGUAAUGACGGUAUUAAACGAGAAAGCCACGGCUAACUACGUGCCAGCAGCCGCCGUAA